UGUAUUCACUACUGUAAGUCACUCUGGAUAAGAGCGUCUGCUAAAUGACUAAAA
Salmo salar (Atlantic salmon) is the source of this 54-nucleotide non-coding RNA. The record is from Rfam. Lineage: Eukaryota; Metazoa; Chordata; Actinopteri; Salmoniformes; Salmonidae.